AUUGAACGCUAGCGGGAUGCCUUACACAUGCAAGUCGAACGGACGGACUCGAUAGCUUGCUAUUGGGAAAGUUAGUGGCAAACGGGUGAGUAACGCGUAGGCAACCUGCCCUUCAGAUGGGGACAACACUUCGAAAGAGGUGCUAAUACCGAAUGACGUAUCCAUUCCGCAUGGAGAGGAUACCAAAGGCCGGGCAACCGGUCACUGAAGGAUGGGCCUGCGUCUGAUUAGCUAGUUGGUGGGGUAACGGCUCACCAAGGCGACGAUCAGUAGCCGGUCUGAGAGGAUGACCAGCCACACUGGGACUGAGACACGGCCCAG
This 321-nucleotide ribosomal RNA is filed under the name uncultured bacterium. RNAcentral's name for it is "bacterial SSU rRNA". It matches the Rfam family "Bacterial small subunit ribosomal RNA", at positions 30 to 334 of the family's 1533-position model. The record is from RNAcentral.